RNAcentral lists this ribosomal RNA (468 nucleotides) under uncultured bacterium. RNAcentral's name for it is "partial 16S ribosomal RNA". It matches the Rfam family "Bacterial small subunit ribosomal RNA", at positions 28 to 507 of the family's 1533-position model. The record is from RNAcentral.
GACGAACGCUGGCGGCGUGCUUAACACAUGCAAGUCGAACGGAAAGGCCCUGCUUUUGUGGGGUGCUCGAGUGGCGAACGGGUGAGUAACACGUGAGUAACCUGCCCUUGACUUUGGGAUAACUUCAGGAAACUGGGGCUAAUACCGGAUAGGAGCUCCUGCCGCAUGGUGGGGGUGGGAAAGUUUCGGCGGUUGGGGAUGGACUGGCGGCUUAUCAGCUCGUUGGUGGGGUAGUGGCUUACCAAGGCUUUGACGGGUAGCCGAGCUGAGAGGGUGACCGGCCACAUUGGAACUGAGCUACGGCACAGACUCGAACGGGAGGCAGCGGUGGAGAAGAUUGCACAAUGGGCGGGAGCCUGGUGCGGCAAAGCCGCGUGCGGGAAGACGGCAUUCGGGUUGUAAACCGCUUUCGCCUGUGACGAAGCGUGAAUGACGGUAAUGGGUGAAGAAGCACCGGCUAACUACGUG